RNAcentral lists this microRNA precursor (112 nucleotides) under Bigelowiella natans CCMP2755. Its description in RNAcentral is "miRNA EPrBNAG00000013518". It matches the Rfam family "mir-598 microRNA precursor family". The record is from RNAcentral. Lineage: Eukaryota; Cercozoa; Chlorarachniophyceae.
AUAUGAUGAUGAUGAUGAUGAUGAUGAUGAUGACGAUGCUGAUUUCUCAUCAAGUAUAAGAGGAUACGCAUCACCGCCACCAUCAUCAUCAUCAUCAUCAUUAUCAUUAUCA